UGCUACAUCACCGACACGUGCGUAUUAGGAUUGUGGACUUGAGAAAAUGUUUUAAAGCGGUAGCUAUAAGGAGGAAAUAUACCGCAAAAUUUCCCAGAGAGGAGGUGGAGACUAUGAAUUGUGAGUAUGUUAAAACACAGACAUGUAAUGAUGCUUUUUAACUUAAAGUUUGUGUUAAUAUCUUACAUUUGUUUUUGCCAAUUUCAGGGGUGACAAUAUAUUUUUGGCUUGUUUUGAUCAGGGGGCCAAAAACAAAUUAUUAAAGCUGCAGUAUAUAACUAUAUUACCCUCUACAGCUAUGAACAGAGCAAGCAGCAACCAAAGGAGGACAUCAACACCUGUGAAACAGACAUCAGUGACCCGUGAAUCAAGGAAUCGCACCCCACAGUUUAGACGUGGAGAGACAGAAGUCUUAAGCUAAGAACUGACCCAAGAUGGAUCUAGCAGCGGUCUUCCUCCAGUUGAGCCGAGCGAACCUCUCUAUAAUUGAAUACUCACGUCUGUUCAGCACCAUUGCCAGAUGCACUGGAUUUGCUGAUAAUCACUUGAAGUCCAUUUACAAGAUCAGCCUCCUUGCCCACGAAUGGAGGGAGUUGCCGGAGAACAGUGAUUGCACGUGGGAGGAGUACAUGGAUUUCAUUUUAGAGAUGUUUGCUUCUGAGAGUACUCAUAAAGAGCCAACGCCCACGCCUGCCACGGCCAAUGAGCUGGAAGUCUCCUACGUCCCAGAGCCAGUGUUGCCUGCCUCGUCCGUCCCAGAGCCUGCGUUGCCAACUUUGACCAUCCGGAGGAGGAGGAGACGAAGAAAGGCUUCCACGGCCCCGUCCCCUGAGCCUUCCACGACCCCGCCCCCGGAGCCCUCCACGGCUCCGCCUUUCACGGCUCCUCCCCAGAGACCAUUCCUCACGUGGCUCUGCCCGCUCCCCUAGAGACUCCAACAGUUACGUCCACAUUACUAGUGACUUCCCCUAUAGCAGCUCCACCUCCUGACCCAGUCGUUGUCCUGUGGCCUCCUCCCAGGCCUCCUGACCCAGUCCAUGUGGCCUCCUCCCAGGCCUCCUGACCCAGUCCCUGUCCUGUGGCCUCCUCCCAGGCCUCCUGACCCAGUCCCUGUCCUGUGGCCUCCUCCCAGGCCUCCUGACCCAGUCCCUGUCCUAUGGCUGCCUCCCAGGCCUCCUGACCCAGACCCUGUUCUACAGCCACCUCCCAGAGCCUCCCGACCCGGUCCCAACCUUGAGGUCAUCCAUCCCCUUGGUCUCGUGGCUGCCCGUUUGGUCUGCUCUGGGUCUCCUUGGUCUCCUUGGUCUCCUAGCCGCCCGUCUGAUCUGCUCUGGUUUCCUUGGUCUCCUGGCCGCCUGAUCUGCUAUGUUUUGUUAUGCUCUGUGCUAGGUUCCCUGUGUUUUUCUUUACUCUGAGUUUUAUUGUUUAUUUUAAUAAAGCUGCACUUAGAUCCUCAUUCUUUGCCUGCCUUGUCACAGUUUCAUUAAUUGUUUAUGCCAGUGCAGAGAAUCAACCAUUUUCCCUAUUAAUAAUAUUUCAAAAUUUCUCAACAGUAAAUGUUGCAAAAUUAUUUGGCCAAGAAUAUUACACAAUAGCAGUGAGGAAAAAAUGGAGCUUAAGCUGGCAUCAAACUAGGCAACUCAUCAGGGGCCGGUUGCACCAGCUGUGCGUAAGUUACAACUUAGCCUAGUUUUGAUGUAAAUGGUAACAGAUACCCCUUUUCCACCAAUGCAGUUUGAGUACAAAGCCAGAG
Molecule: long non-coding RNA, 1753 nt
Organism: Xyrauchen texanus (razorback sucker)
Lineage: Eukaryota; Metazoa; Chordata; Actinopteri; Cypriniformes; Catostomidae
Exons: 3
Source: RefSeq, a predicted model, not a curated record